RNAcentral lists this ribosomal RNA (117 nucleotides) under bacterium. The record is from RNAcentral.
CUCGGUGACCAUACCGACGAGGAAACACCUCUUCCCAUUCCGAACAGAGUCGUUAAGCUCGUCAGGGCCAAUGGUACUGCGUGGGUAACUGCGCGGGAGAGUAGGUCGUCGCCGGGG